UGGCGCAGCAGGCGCGAAACCUUUACAAUGCACGCAAGUGUGAUAAGGGUAUCCUGAGUGCUUAUACUAUGUAUAGGCUUUUGCCAAGAGCAAAUAUCUUGGCGAAUAAGUGAUGGGUAAGACUGGUGCCAGCAGCCGCGGUAACACCAGCGUCACGAGUGGCAAUCGUAUUUAUUGGGUCUAAAGCGUCCGUAGCCGGUUUGACAAGUCUUUUGUGAAAUCGUUGUGCUUAACAUAACGGUGUGCAAAAGAUACUGUCGGACUUGGAACUGGGAUGAGUCAGAGGUAUUCUGUGGGGAGCGGUAAAAUGCUAUAAUCCUCAGAAGACCACCAGUGGCGAAAGCGUCUGACUAGAACAGAUUCGACGGUGAGGGACGAAAGCCAGGGGAGCAAAACGGAUUAGAUACCCGAGUAGUCCUGGCCAUAAACGCUGCGAGCAAGGUGUCGCGUAUCCUUCGUGGAUGCGCGGUGUCGAAGAGAAGUCGUUAAGCUCGCCACCUGGGAAGUAUGGUCGCAAGGCUGAAACUUAAAGGAAUUGGCGGGGGAGCACCACAAGGGGUGCGGCGUGCGGUUUAAUCUAAUUCAACACAGAGAAUCUCACCAGGAGCGACGGCAGGAUGAAGGUCAGUCUAAAGGGCUUACCAGACGAGCCGAGAGGUAGUGCAUGGCCGUCGUCAGCUCGUGCUGUAAGGUGUCCGGUUAAGUCCGGCAACGAGCGAGACCUGUAUCUACAAUUGCUAACGACUCUUUUAGGAGAAUCGAGCACAUUGUGGAGACUGCCUUGGAAACAAGGAGGAAGGCGCAGGCUACGGUAGGUCUGUAUGCUCCGAAUCUUCUGGGCUACACGCGCGCAACAAUGGUAAGGACAAUGUGAUGCGACUCUGAAAAGAGAAGCUAAUCCUCUAAACCUUAUCCUAGUUCAGAUUGAGGAUUGUAAUUCAUCCUCAUGACGAUGGAAUCCCUAGUAAUCAGACGUCAUCAGCGUCUGGUGAAUAUGUCCCUGCUCCUUGCACGAAUUCGCCGA
Molecule: ribosomal RNA, 1024 nt
Filed under: uncultured crenarchaeote
Lineage: Archaea; Thermoproteati; Thermoproteota
Description: bacterial SSU rRNA
Rfam family: Archaeal small subunit ribosomal RNA
Source: RNAcentral